GUGAAUCAUCAAAUCUUUGAACGCAAACUGCACUCUCUGGUAUUCCGUAGAGUAUGCCUGUUUGAGGGUCAUUUUAAAUAAAAAUCGGUGUUUGUGCUUGCGUUCCUGUUGACGCACCGGAUUUGGAUUGUCUUGCCUUCGGCUAAGUGACCUAAAUUUUUGCAUGAUUUUUUUCGAAUGUACUUAUAUGAGGUGACGUACGUUUGCGAUAUCGAAUACUAGGUGUGGGCAUCUUCAUGAGUCGCGCCUAUAAUUUUUCAUUAAAAUGAC
RNAcentral lists this unclassified non-coding RNA (270 nucleotides) under Glomus sp. RNAcentral describes it as "partial contains 5.8S ribosomal RNA and internal transcribed spacer 2". The stretch from base 1 to 71 matches the Rfam family "5.8S ribosomal RNA", at positions 84 to 154 of the family's 154-position model. The record is from RNAcentral. Lineage: Eukaryota; Fungi; Glomeromycota; Glomeromycetes; Glomerales; Glomeraceae.